This 1372-nucleotide ribosomal RNA is filed under the name uncultured bacterium. RNAcentral describes it as "bacterial SSU rRNA". It matches the Rfam family "Bacterial small subunit ribosomal RNA", at positions 28 to 1381 of the family's 1533-position model. The record is from RNAcentral.
GAUGAACGCGGGCGGCGUGCCUAAUACAUGCAAGUCGAGCGAACGGACGAGAAGCUUGCUUCUCUGAUGUUAGCGGCGGACGGGUGAGUAACACGUGGAUAACCUACCUAUAAGACUGGGAUAACUUCGGGAAACCGGAGCUAAUACCGGAUAAUAUUUUGAACCGCAUGGUUCAAAAGUGAAAGACGGUCUUGCUGUCACUUAUAGAUGGAUCCGCGCUGCAUUAGCUAGUUGGUAAGGUAACGGCUUACCAAGGCAACGAUGCAUAGCCGACCUGAGAGGGUGACCGGCCACACUGGAACUGAGACACGGUCCAGACUCCUACGGGAGGCAGCAGUAGGGAAUCUUCCGCAAUGGGCGAAAGCCUGACGGAGCAACGCCGCGUGAGUGAUGAAGGUCUUCGGAUCGUAAAACUCUGUUAUUAGGGAAGAACAUAUGUGUAAGUAACUGUGCACAUCUUGACGGUACCUAAUCAGAAAGCCACGGCUAACUACGUGCCAGCAGCCGCGGUAAUACGUAGGUGGCAAGCGUUAUCCGGAAUUAUUGGGCGUAAAGCGCGCGUAGGCGGUUUUUUAAGUCUGAUGUGAAAGCCCACGGCUCAACCGUGGAGGGUCAUUGGAAACUGGAAAACUUGAGUGCAGAAGAGGAAAGUGGAAUUCCAUGUGUAGCGGUGAAAUGCGCAGAGAUGUGGAGGAACACCAGUGGCGAAGGCGACUUUCUGGUCUGUAACUGACGCUGAUGUGCGAAAGCGUGGGGAUCAAACAGGAUUAGAUACCCUGGUAGUCCACGCCGUAAACGAUGAGUGCUAAGUGUUAGGGGGUUUCCGCCCCUUAGUGCUGCAGCUAACGCAUUAAGCACUCCGCCUGGGGAGUACGACCACAAGGUUGAAACUCAAAGGAAUUGACGGGGACCCGCACAAGCGGUGGAGCAUGUGGUUUAAUUCGAAGCAACGCGAAGAACCUUACCAAAUCUUGACAUCCUUUGACAACUCUAGAGAUAGAGCCUUCCCCUUCGGGGGACAAAGUGACAGGUGGUGCAUGGUUGUCGUCAGCUCGUGUCGUGAGAUGUUGGGUUAAGUCCCGCAACGAGCGCAACCCUUAAGCUUAGUUGCCAUCAUUAAGUUGGGCACUCUAAGUUGACUGCCGGUGACAAACCGGAGGAAGGUGGGGAUGACGUCAAAUCAUCAUGCCCCUUAUGAUUUGGGCUACACACGUGCUACAAUGGACAAUACAAAGGGCAGCGAAACCGCGAGGUCAAGCAAAUCCCAUAAAGUUGUUCUCAGUUCGGAUUGUAGUCUGCAACUCGACUACAUGAAGCUGGAAUCGCUAGUAAUCGUAGAUCAGCAUGCUACGGUGAAUACGUUCCCGGGUCU